Molecule: ribosomal RNA, 251 nt
Filed under: uncultured bacterium
Lineage: Bacteria
Description: partial 16S ribosomal RNA
Rfam family: Bacterial small subunit ribosomal RNA
Source: RNAcentral
UACGUAGGGUGCGAGCGUUAAUCGGAAUACUGGGCGUAAAGCGUGCGCAGGCGGUUUUGUAAGCCAGGUGUGAAAUCCCCGGGCUCAACCUGGGAAUGGCAUUUGGGACUGCAAGGCUGGAGUGCGGCAGAGGAGACUGGAAUUCCUGGUGUAGCAGUGAAAUGCGUAGAUAUCAGGAGGAAUACGAUGGCGAAGGCCAGCUACCUGGACAACACUGACACUGAGGCACGAAAGCGUGGGGAGCAAACAGG